GGCGGUUCUGCCGCCGCGAGCUGCAGGUCCCGGGCUCCGGCGUGCGGCGGCUGGAACAGAAGAGGGUGCUGCCGCCCCGGGCUGGCAGCGAGCUCCGCAGGUCGCCGCGGAGUAAACAUGAAGUUACCCCAGUAUGAAGGAGGAAGCCUUUCCCCAGCUUGAGACAUCUCAUGUGCUGAUUUCUUGUAACUCGUAUCCCUGCACUUUCAUUUGCACUAUGUACUUCAAACACACGGACCUUCUGGGAGCGUGUAGUCUGUGAUCCAGGGAGGGGAUAUAUACUUAGCACCUCUUGAACAGCCC
Molecule: long non-coding RNA, 303 nt
Filed under: Apteryx owenii (little spotted kiwi)
Lineage: Eukaryota; Metazoa; Chordata; Aves; Apterygiformes; Apterygidae
Description: lncRNA (ENSAOWG00000001327.1)
Source: RNAcentral